GAUGAACGCUGGCGGCGUGCUUAACACAUGCAAGUCGAACGGUGAAGCAGAGCUUGCUCUGUGGAUCAGUGGCGAACGGGUGAGUAACACGUGAGCAAUCUGCCCCUGACUCUGGGAUAAGCGCUGGAAACGGCGUCUAAUACCGGAUACGAGCUGCGACCGCAUGGUCAGUAGCUGGAAAGAAUUUCGGUCAGGGAUGAGCUCGCGGCCUAUCAGCUUGUUGGUGAGGUAAUGGCUCACCAAGGCGUCGACGGGUAGCCGGCCUGAGAGGGUGACCGGCCACACUGGGACUGAGACACGGCCCAGACUCCUACGGGAGGCAGCAGUGGGGAAUAUUGCACAAUGGGCGCAAGCCUGAUGCAGCAACGCCGCGUGAGGGAUGACGGCCUUCGGGUUGUAAACCUCUUUUAGCAGGGAAGAAGCGAAAGUGACGGUACCUGCAGAAAAAGCGCCGGCUAACUACGUGCCCAGCAGCCGCGGUAAUACGUAGGGCGCAAGCGUUAUCCGGAAUUAUUGGGCGUAAAGAGCUCGUAGGCGGUCUGUCGCGUCUGCUGUGAAAACCCGAGGCUCAACCUCGGGCCUGCAGUGGGUACGGGCAGACUAGAGUGCGGUAGGGGGAGAAUUGGAAUUCCUGGUGUAGCGGUGGAAUGCGCAGAUAUCAGGAGGAACACCGAUGGCGAAGGCAGAUCUCUGGGCCGUAACUGACGCUGAGGAGCGAAAGGGUGGGGGAGCAAACAGGCUUAGAUACCCUGGUAGUCCACCCCGUAAACGUUGGGAACUAGUUGUGGGGUCCAUUCCACGGAUUCCGUGACGCAGCUAACGCAUUAAGUUCCCCGCCUGGGGAGUACGGCCGCAAGGCUAAAACUCAAAGGAAUUGACGGGGACCCGCACAAGCGGCGGAGCAUGCGGAUUAAUUCGAUGCAACGCGAAGAACCUUACCAAGGCUUGACAUAUAGAGGAAACGUCUGGAAACAGUCGCCCCGCAAGGUCUCUAUACAGGUGGUGCAUGGUUGUCGUCAGCUCGUGUCGUGAGAUGUUGGGUUAAGUCCCGCAACGAGCGCAACCCUCGUUCUAUGUUGCCAGCACGUAAUGGUGGGAACUCAUGGGAUACUGCCGGGGUCAACUCGGAGGAAGGUGGGGAUGACGUCAAAUCAUCAUGCCCCUUAUGUCUUGGGCUUCACGCAUGCUACAAUGGCCGGUACAAAGGGCUGCAAUACCGUGAGGUGGAGCGAAUCCCAAAAAGCCGGUCCCAGUUCGGAUUGAGGUCUGCAACUCGACCUCAUGAAGUCGGAGUCGCUAGUAAUCGCAGAUCAGCAACGCUGCGGUGAAUACGUUCCCGGGUCUUGUACACACCGCCCGUCAAGUCAUGAAAGUCGGUAACACCUGAAGCCGGUGGCCCAACCCUUGUGGAGGGAGCCGUCGAAGGUGGGAUCGGUAAUUAGGACUAAGUCGUAA
Molecule: ribosomal RNA, 1455 nt
Filed under: Microbacterium arborescens
Lineage: Bacteria; Bacillati; Actinomycetota; Actinomycetes; Micrococcales; Microbacteriaceae
Description: bacterial SSU rRNA
Rfam family: Bacterial small subunit ribosomal RNA
Source: RNAcentral